GCCUGGGUGGCUCAGUUGGUUGAGCGUCCGACUUAGGCUCGUAGCUCGUGGGUUCGAGCCCCACGUUGGGCU
This is a non-coding RNA of Herpailurus yagouaroundi (jaguarundi), 72 nucleotides long. The record is from the annotation of a RefSeq genome assembly. Lineage: Eukaryota; Metazoa; Chordata; Mammalia; Carnivora; Felidae.